Molecule: non-coding RNA, 1165 nt
Filed under: Drosophila willistoni
Lineage: Eukaryota; Metazoa; Arthropoda; Insecta; Diptera; Drosophilidae
Description: Eukaryotic large subunit ribosomal RNA
Rfam family: Eukaryotic large subunit ribosomal RNA
Source: Rfam by way of RNAcentral
UGGAGGACUGAAGUGGAGAAGGGUUUCGUGUGAACAGUGGUUGAUCACGAGUUAGUCGGUCCUAAGUUCAAGGCGAAAGCCGAAAAUUUCAAGUUUUAAAAAUGUCAAAUGAAAUAAUAAAUAAUAAAACACUUGAAUAAUUUUGAACGAAAGGGAAUACGGUUCCAAUUCCGUAACCUGUUGAGUAUCCGUUUGUUAUUAAAUAUGGGCCUCGUGCUCAUCCUGGCAACAGGAACGACCAUAAAGAAGCCGUCGAGAGGUAUCGGAAGAGUUUUCUUUUCUGUUUUAUAGCCGUACUACCAUGGAAGUCUUUCGCAGAGAGAUAUGGUAGAUGGGCUAGAAGAGCAUGACAUAUACUGUUGUGUCGAUAUUUUCUCCUCGGACCUUGAAAAUUUAUGGUGGGGAUACGCAAACUUCUCAACAGGCCGUACCAAUAUCCGCAGCUGGUCUCCAAGGUGAAGAGUCUCUAGUCGAUAGAAUAAUGUAGGUAAGGGAAGUCGGCAAAUUAGAUCCGUAACUUCGGGAUAAGGAUUGGCUCUGAAGAUUGAGAUAGUCGGGCUUGAUUGGGAAACAAUAACAUGGUUUAUGUGCUCGUUCUGGGUAAAUAGAGUUUCUAUCAUUUAUGAUAGUUAUUUGUUCCCCGGAUAGUUAGUUACGUAGCCAAUUGUGGAACUUUCUUGCUAAAAUUUUUAAGAAUACUAAUUUUUAAUUAGUUCUUUUAAAUUAUAACGAUUAUCAAUUAACAAUCAAUUCAGAACUGGCACGGACUUGGGGAAUCCGACUGUCUAAUUAAAACAAAGCAUUGUGAUGGCCCUAGCGGGUGUUGACACAAUGUGAUUUCUGCCCAGUGCUCUGAAUGUCAAAGUGAAGAAAUUCAAGUAAGCGCGGGUCAACGGCGGGAGUAACUAUGACUCUCUUAAGGUCGGAGCAAUUUGCGAAGACCUCGAACUAGGAGACAGUUAAGACAACAAGAGUACGCACAGGUUCAGCGUCGUUGGGAUAAGAAUACUGGGAGAUGCAUUAAAUCCUUGCUUGAUGGAACAGAUGAGUCGGUUAUGCCAAACCAAGAGAUAAUGGAACCCUAUUGGAAACAAGUAAUGACGAAUCCCAGCACAUGCUCUUGCGAUAACACAAGAUUCCGUAUGGAACAUUCGCUUGAGACGGU